This 1248-nucleotide long non-coding RNA is filed under the name Olea europaea subsp. europaea. The record is from RNAcentral. Lineage: Eukaryota; Viridiplantae; Streptophyta; Magnoliopsida; Lamiales; Oleaceae.
UAUAUAUAUAUAUAUAUAGGGGCCAUAAAAUCAUGCAAGAGAAACACCGAAUCAACACAUAAGAAAACGACUUAUAGCCUAUGGUUCCUUGCACGCUUCAUUAGAGACACAAGCUUACUCUAUUUGAUGCUCCUGUUGACACAUAAAAAUUCAGCCCAAGUCGAACAGCUCAAGAAGUAAAUCCCAAUUGGUGAAUCCCCAAAUCGGAUGGCCCAAAGAACGAAGUCCAAUCAAACGAGUCAAGGUGAAGGCCCAAACAAGGGGCCCAAGAAUGCGGUAACGCCAUCGCCCAAGUUUGCAAGUCGCCCAGAAUCUGAACAAAUGGAGUGUCAUACGGUCGCCCAGAGCUGUUAUUUUACUCUCGCCCAAACCUUCAAGUCGCCCAAGGUAUCAACAAACAUAACGCAUCGUGAUUAUCAAGGAAUGCAGUUAUCAAGGCAGUUGUUAAAGUAGCCUUAUCACGUUCCACGACUCAAGGAAUUCAAUCGAAAGCGGUUGAACGAUGAAAGAUAAUGGCAGCAGUUAAGAGGCAGUUUCAUGACAAAAUGGUCACUACAAAGAAAGUGGGUAGUUAUAGGACGAUUAAGCAGUUUUCAGAGUAGUUAAUCACAAAGAGAUCGUCUAUGAGGUAUAAAAGGGAGAAAGGACGCAGAAGCAAAGGACCGAAUCCAAAACUCUCGAACAGAGAAUAUGUAAUUUUCAUUUCCUUAACUUUUAGACUUAAACAUCUUUCUUUCUGUAACUCGUGUGCUUGCGCCCCUUGGAGGCACGUUGUUUUUCAUUCCCAAUUGUAAAGUUCACCGCCAAUAAAAGAACACCCCUUUUUGGGACUUUGUCUCAAUAAGUUUCGUCCUUUACACAAUCGUCUGACCCUUUUUAAUUGUUAGCGACUUAACCCGCGCGAAACAGAUCCAAAGGUUUCUUCAAGAGAAGAUGAAAAUCGUCACACAGAGCUUUAACUUGUCCCAUCAUAUAAAGUAAAAGUCGAAUUAAUUGGGCAGAUCACAACAUGGCGAAGGUGGGAAACGAUGUUCAAAUGAAAAUAAUAAUAACAGAAACAGCAACAAAAACAUUACUUGCAAAAGAAGAACAAAAAAAAGAUAAGAGACAGUCAUGCCUCUUCUGUCGUCAAUAUAUGAUCCUUAAAGCAUAAAUAUGAAUCCCCAAAGGAUUCAGAAGUAUUUAAAAGAAGCUUCUCAAGUAAAUAGUUAGACCAAACAAAGUCUGCUUCCUCAAAGUUGUGUUUCC